UCUCUCGUUUCCUUAGUUCGGAAAUGAGGCGGGUUCGGGUUACCCCCCGGGACGGAGGGAAAAGCCUGGGGAAGCAGGGAGGGCGGAGCCUAGGACAAAGUCUACGUCUCCAUGGGGACAACACUAUCU
Non-coding RNA from Caenorhabditis elegans, 129 nucleotides. The record is from Ensembl. Lineage: Eukaryota; Metazoa; Nematoda; Chromadorea; Rhabditida; Rhabditidae.